RNAcentral lists this transfer RNA (73 nucleotides) under marine sediment metagenome. RNAcentral describes it as "tRNA-Met". It matches the Rfam family "tRNA". Rfam says of the family: Transfer RNA (tRNA) molecules are approximately 80 nucleotides in length. Their secondary structure includes four short double-helical elements and three loops (D, anti-codon, and T loops). The record is from RNAcentral.
UGCGGGGUAGAGCAACUGGUAGCUCACCUGGCUCAUAACCAGGAGGUUAGGGGUUCAACUCCCCUCCCCGCUA